This 427-nucleotide ribosomal RNA is filed under the name uncultured Lysobacteraceae bacterium. RNAcentral's name for it is "bacterial SSU rRNA". It matches the Rfam family "Bacterial small subunit ribosomal RNA", at positions 355 to 774 of the family's 1533-position model. Lineage: Bacteria; Pseudomonadati; Pseudomonadota; Gammaproteobacteria; Lysobacterales; Lysobacteraceae. The record is from RNAcentral.
UGGGAAGUAUUGGACAAUGGCGGCAAGCCUGAUCCAGCAAUGCCGCGUGUGUGAAGAAGGCCUUCGGGUUGUAAAGCACUUUUAUCAGGAGCGAAAUACCACGGGUUAAUACCCUAUGGGCGUGACGGUACCUGAGGAAUAAGCACCGGCUAACUUCGUGCCAGCAGCCGCGGUAAUACGAAGGGUGCAAGCGUUAAUCGGAAUUACUGGGCGUAAAGGGUGCGUAGGCGGUUCGUUAAGUCUGUUGUGAAAUCCCGGCGUCAACCUGGGAAUGGCAAUGGAUACUGGCGAGCUAGAGUGUGAUAGAGGAUGGUGGAAUUCCCGGUGUAGCGGUGAAAUGCGUAGAGAUUCGGGAGGAACAUCAGUUGGCGAAGGCGGCCAUCUGGAUCAACACUGACGCUGAAGCACGAAGCGUGGGGAGCAAACA